AAAAAUGCACAUGCUGUGAGCUCGAUGAGUAGGGCGGGACACGUGGUAUCCUGUCUGAAUAUGGGGGGACCAUCCUCCAAGGCUAAAUACUCCUGACUGACCGAUAGUGAACCAGUACCGUGAGGGAAAGGCGAAAAGAACCCCGGCGAGGGGAGUGAAAAAGAACCUGAAACCGUGUACGUACAAGCAGUGGGAGCACGCUUAGGCGUGUGACUGCGUACCUUUUGUAUAAUGGGUCAGCGACUUAUAUUCUGUAGCAAGGUUAACCGAAUAGGGGAGCCGAAGGGAAACCGAGUCUUAACUGGGCGUUAAGUUGCAGGGUAUAGACCCGAAACCCGGUGAUCUAGCCAUGGGCAGGUUGAAGGUUGGGUAACACUAACUGGAGGACCGAACCGACUAAUGUUGAAAAAUUAGCGGAUGACUUGUGGCUGGGGGUGAAAGGCCAAUCAAACCGGGAGAUAGCUGGUUCUCCCCGAAAGCUAUUUAGGUAGCGCCUCGUGAAUUCAUCUCCGGGGGUAGAGCACUGUUUCGGCAAGGGGGUCAUCCCGACUUACCAACCCGAUGCAAACUGCGAAUACCGGAGAAUGUUAUCACGGGAGACACACGGCGGGUGCUAACGUCCGUCGUGAAGAGGGAAACAACCCAGACCGCCAGCUAAGGUCCCAAAGUCAUGGUUAAGUGGGAAACGAUGUGGGAAGGCCCAGACAGCCAGGAUGUUGGCUUAGAAGCAGCCAUCAUUUAAAGAAAGCGUAAUAGCUCACUGGUCGAGUCGGCCUGCGCGGAAGAUGUAACGGGGCUAAACCAUGCACCGAAGCUGCGGCAGCGACACUAUGUGUUGUUGGGUAGGGGAGCGUUCUGUAAGCCUGUGAAGGUGUGCUGUGAGGCAUGCUGGAGGUAUCAGAAGUGCGAAUGCUGACAUAAGUAACGAUAAAGCGGGUGAAAAGCCCGCUCGCCGGAAGACCAAGGGUUCCUGUCCAACGUUAAUCGGGGCAGGGUGAGUCGACCCCUAAGGCGAGGCCGAAAGGCGUAGUCGAUGGGAAACAGGUUAAUAUUCCUGUACUUGGUGUUACUGCGAAGGGGGGACGGAGAAGGCUAUGUUGGCCGGGCGACGGUUGUCCCGGUUUAAGCGUGUAGGCUGGUUUUCCAGGCAAAUCCGGAAAAUCAAGGCUGAGGCGUGAUGACGAGGCACUACGGUGCUGAAGCAACAAAUGCCCUGCUUCCAGGAAAAGCCUCUAAGCAUCAGGUAACAUCAAAUCGUACCCCAAACCGACACAGGUGGUCAGGUAGAGAAUACCAAGGCGCUUGAGAGAACUCGGGUGAAGGAACUAGGCAAAAUGGUGCCGUAACUUCGGGAGAAGG
This 1359-nucleotide ribosomal RNA is filed under the name Escherichia coli. Its description in RNAcentral is "partial 23S ribosomal RNA". It matches the Rfam family "Bacterial large subunit ribosomal RNA", at positions 381 to 1746 of the family's 2925-position model. Lineage: Bacteria; Pseudomonadati; Pseudomonadota; Gammaproteobacteria; Enterobacterales; Enterobacteriaceae. The record is from RNAcentral.